This 943-nucleotide long non-coding RNA is filed under the name Triticum aestivum (bread wheat). Its description in RNAcentral is "long non-coding RNA (TAES_LNC003452)". The record is from RNAcentral. Lineage: Eukaryota; Viridiplantae; Streptophyta; Magnoliopsida; Poales; Poaceae.
UAACAACGAUUGCACUUCUUAUUCGCUAAAAAUAUCCAUAAUAUAGUGUUAUUUUUAUUCAGAAAAGAAGAAACACUAAAUCUUAGGAGAAAAACAAAAAGAAGAAAGAACACAUCAGUGCAACAUAAUGCUGCGACUUUAGGCUGCAGAGAUAGUGCUUCUAUGCAGCACUGCCUACUGAAACAAACAUGGUCUACACAAGCCACUACCACAACAUCAAUGCAAAUAUACUUUGCCAUCAAUUCCUUCGUAAUAUUUUUUGAAAAAGGCACCCUUUCACACAAGCAACAGACUGCCAAUCAGCUUAUUUUGCCCUCAAAAAUUUGUAACUGACGAAGCAAGCACAGUAUGUUCGCAGUUUCAAUAAAAGACCAAAUGAAGUGAGGAUGAACCGCGUAAAGAAUAAGGGCGUUUUUUUAUCGGACAGAAUGAGGGCUCUUGUUCGGGCCGAACCCCAAAUUUUGCUCUUGAGAUCAACGAGGAGCUCCACCCUUCCUGUCCACUGCCUCCUCAUUGUACGGCGGCAACCCGAGGAGCAGCUUCUUAGGGCAACCCGGGAUCCUUUCUUGGCCUUCUUCCUCUUCCUUUGCCCCGCUCCUAAAAAAAAUCAAGAACGCUAAUCCUAAACAUUCAGAAAUUGAUGGAUGAGGAAAGGGAGAGGAAAAGGAAGAGGCAGUUCUUACCGGCUAGAAGCCGACGGAGGUGGGGAGGGACGCAGGAGAAGGCCGUUGUCGCCGCAGACCUCGCGUCGGAACUUUGCGUUGUCCACUUCGCCUCCUGGUCGCAUGAGAGAGGGAAUGGGGGAGUACUCCACGCGCCAGGGUGGGGAGUAGCCCUCGCUUCCGGGUAGUCCCUCCGGCACAAUCGCCGCCGCCGCCGCCGCAAUCCGAGGAUGGACUAGGGAGAGAGAAACAAUGUCGAUCCACCUUUUUUUUUGAGACAG